GACUGGAAAAACACACACACUGAUUGCAUAGUUUGGUUUAUUAUACGUUAGUCAGACCUGUUGCUUAAGAAUAUUUAAUUUUCUGUAGGCCUCCAAGACCAGUUUUGGAGCUGGAGAAAUCAGAGGUGAUACCCCAGCAUCUGUGGAAUUUUUGAAACGGAGAAUCGUGACACCUGCCACCAGGAUUGCUCUGUCCAGCACUCCUGCAGAAUCUUUUUCCUGCUGAAUUUGAAAUUACUGUUAAAUAAGUACUUAUCUGCGAUCCUAAGAAAGCUGCCCAUCUCAGUCAGAGGAUAGGACUGUCCCUUGCAGCACUACCCCUACAAAACGUGGAAGACGGAGUUGACACAUUGAAGCCAGAACAGCUGAUCCCUGGCUCCAGGAAGUGCCUGUCACUUGUCUUAACAUUUUACAAGUGAAUUUAUACUCUUUGGACUCAUAUUAAAAUCUUACAGGUAAAUUGAUAUCCUCUGGCUUUUGCAGUUUUCUCAUUUAUACAUUUUCUUGUAUUUAAUUUGAAAGUACCUAAAUAUAGGCAUAGC
This 542-nucleotide long non-coding RNA is filed under the name Struthio camelus australis. Its description in RNAcentral is "lncRNA (ENSSCUG00000008385.1)". The record is from RNAcentral. Lineage: Eukaryota; Metazoa; Chordata; Aves; Struthioniformes; Struthionidae.